GUGGUUAUGGAUGGGUCUGCGUGCCAUUAGCUAGUUGGUAGUGUAACGGACUACCAAGGCAGUGAUGGCUAGGGGGUCUGAGAGGAUGAUCCCCCACACUGGGACUGAGACACGGCCCAG
This 120-nucleotide ribosomal RNA is filed under the name uncultured bacterium. RNAcentral describes it as "partial 16S ribosomal RNA". It matches the Rfam family "Bacterial small subunit ribosomal RNA", at positions 215 to 334 of the family's 1533-position model. The record is from RNAcentral.